RNAcentral lists this ribosomal RNA (714 nucleotides) under uncultured bacterium. RNAcentral's name for it is "bacterial SSU rRNA". It matches the Rfam family "Bacterial small subunit ribosomal RNA", at positions 126 to 826 of the family's 1533-position model. The record is from RNAcentral.
CUGCCCGCGCACCGGGAAUACGCUCUGGAAACGGAGAACAAAUCCCGAUGUACAGGAAGGAGGCAUCUUCUUUCUGUGAAACAUCCUUUAGGGGAUGGGGCGCGGAUGGACCUGCGGUGCAUUAGUUGGUUGGCGGGGUAAAGGCCCACCAAGACGAUGAUGCAUAGCCGGCCUGAGAGGGCGGACGGCCACAUUGGGACUGAGACACGGCCCAGACUCCUGCGGGAGGCAGCAGUAGGGAAUUUUCGUCAAUGGGCGCAAGCCUGAACGAGCGAUGCCGCGUGAGUGAAGAAGGCCUUCGGGUCGUAAAGCUCUGUUGCGGGGGAAAAAAGGCAGCAUCAGGAAAUGGGUGCUGACUGAUGGUGCCCCGCCAGAAAGUCACGGCUAACUACGUGCCAGCAGCCGCGGUAAUACGUAGGUGGCGAGCGUUAUCCGGAAUGAUUGGGCGUAAAGGGUGCGCAGGCGGUCCUGCAAGUCUGGAGUGAAACGCAUGAGCUCAACUCAUGCAUGGCUUUGGAAACUGGAGGACUGGAGAGCAGGAGAGGGCGGUGGAACUCCAUGUGUAGCGGUAAAAUGCGUAGAUAUAUGGAAGAACACCAGUGGCGAAGGCGGCCGCCUGGCCUGUUGCUGACGCUGAGGCACGAAAGCGUGGGGAGCAAAUAGGAUUAGAUACCCUAGUAGUCCACGCCGUCAACGAAGAGGACCAAGUGUUGG